This 253-nucleotide ribosomal RNA is filed under the name uncultured bacterium. RNAcentral's name for it is "partial 16S ribosomal RNA". It matches the Rfam family "Bacterial small subunit ribosomal RNA", at positions 524 to 776 of the family's 1533-position model. The record is from RNAcentral.
UACGAAGGGGGCGAGCGUUGUUCGGAUUUACUGGGCGUAAAGGGCGCGCAGGCGGCUUUUCAAGUCAGGCGUGAAAGCCCCGGGCUUAACCUGGGAACUGCGUCUGGGACUGAAGGGCUAGAGUUCGGGAGAGGAGAGUGGAAUUCCCAGUGUAGAGGUGAAAUUCGUAGAUAUUGGGAAGAACACCGGUGGCGAAGGCGGCUCUCUGGACCGAGACUGACGCUGAGGUGCGAAAGCGUGGGGAGCAAACAGG